ACCUAGCAGCAUGUAGUGGCUACCCAGUAGAAUAGAAAGAUGAACCUCUAGGUGCAGUUAACGUGUGAUACAUUCCUACUAUCGUGGAUCCCUACAGGACGGAGGUCAUGGACAACUCGUCAAACCCCAUCGUCUGUCGUAUGUCAAAAUUUAUUUGACUUGAGUUCGAUAGUGGAAAACUCUUUUUUCACUUUAUAUUACUGCCCUGGCCAAGGUCUUAGAACUCAGUCUAACAAAUCACAUAGGAUCACUCCU
This 255-nucleotide long non-coding RNA is filed under the name Phoenix dactylifera (date palm). RNAcentral describes it as "long non-coding RNA (PDAC_LNC018017)". Lineage: Eukaryota; Viridiplantae; Streptophyta; Magnoliopsida; Arecales; Arecaceae. The record is from RNAcentral.